GCCGGGUCCCCCAGCAGUGCCAGCACUGCGCUCGAAUUCUCGCCGGGCGUCAGCUGCCUCCCCGUAGGGCAGGGCUGGGGACCUGCAGCCCACCAUGCCCGAGCCUCCCCCUGGCCGUGGGCUCCUGCGCGGCCCAGCCUCCCCGACAAGCGCCGCCCCCUGCUCCGCGGCACGCCGGGUCCCAUCGACCGCCCAAGGGCUGAGGAGUGAGGGCGCAGGGCGCGGGACUGGCGGGCAGCUCCACCUGCAGCCCGGUUGGGGGAUCCACUAGGUGAAGCCAGCUGGGCUCCUGAGUCUAGUGGGGAUUUGGAGAACCUUUGUGUCUAGCUAAGGGACUGUAAAUACACCAAUCAGCACUCUGUGUCUGGCUCAAGGUUUGUAAAGGCACCAAUCAGUGCUCUGUGUCUAGCUAAUCUAGUGGGGACUUGGAGAACUUUUGUGUCUAGCUCAGGGAUUGUAAACGCACCAAUCAGCACCCUGCAAAACGGACCAAUCAGCUCUCUGUAAAACAGACCAAUCAGCUCUCUGCAAAAUGGACCAAUCAGCAAGAUGUGGGUGGGGCCAGAUAAGGGAAUAAAAGCAGGCUGCUGGAGCCAGUAAUGUUGACACCCUCGGGUUGUCUUCUGUGGUGUGGAGGCUUUGUUCUUUUGUUCUUUGUGAUAGAUCUAAUUGCUGCUCACUCUUUGGGUCUGUACUGCGUUUAUGAGCUGUGACACUCGCCGUGAAGGUCUGCAGCUUCACUCCUGAACCAGCGAGAGGAGGAACCCACCAGAAGGAGGAAAACGCGGAACACAUCUGAAUAUCAGAAGGAACAAACUCCAGACACGCCGCCUUUAAGAACUGUAACAGUCACCGCGAGGGUCCGUGGUUUCAUUCUUGAAGUAAGUGAGACCAAGAACCUGCCAAUUUCAGACACAAUGGAGAGCGCCAGUCCUGCUGCGGGGCCAUACAUCUAUUUAAUUUCCUCUCAUCUUCCCCCCGGUUCCGAGAGGAAGGUGCUUUCACCUGCACUGUUCCCAUGAGGAAACGAGGCUUCAGGAAUCUGAUAAAGCUUCCAAACUCCCGUGGCUGGCAGGAACCAAGGUUUCGAUGGCCGGACUUCUCAGCCCCCCAGGUGGAAAAGCAGGAGGCAUGACAGAUGAGGGUGAGAGUGCAUGCCAGGUCAGGCUGAGAAGGCGACAAUGCCAUAUGGUUUUUUCCACUUAGCUUAGCUCCAGGAUGACUUUGAACAGUGUUACAGCCCCAUGGGCAGAAAAUUGCACUUGCCUCAAGCUUCAUUAAAGCAAAUCGAGUCAGAAGGGAUUGAAACACCUGGAAGAAAUGCAAUGGAUUCAAACAGGGAAAAGGUGUGGGUCCGUCCCUUUUCCUGGUAAAUCCAGCAGCCUAGGAGAUGUCAGAAAAACAUUCCAAGGUUCCUGGACUUUUAAAGAGGCUAAGGAUGGGGCCUGCCAGGUACAGGAUGGCCCAUGCAGGUGGAGAUGCAGCCACAGGAUACCUGGGAUUCAUUGCAGCCUCGUCACUUACCAGUGUUGGCACUGUAUCGGUUAUCCCGAAUUUAACAGCCUAAAGCCACAUUCGUCAUCUUAUACUCUGUGGGGGUAGGGAAUCCAGGAGUGGAUUCACCAGGAGGUUCUGGCUGGGUGUCUCCCCGGAGCCGCAGGCGAGUGUGGGCCGUGGCAGCCAUCCCUGUUUCCAAGUGCACCAUGUGGCAGUUGGCUUGAGGCUCCAGGUCCUUGAGGUGCAGGCUUCCCCACGGGGCUGCUCGCGGCAUGGCUUCCUCACCCAGAGUGAUGGAUCCGAGAGAGAGCAGCCAAACUGAAAGCCACAGCCUUUUGUAAGCAAACCUCAGAAGUGACAUCUCGUCACAUCUGCCAUAUUCUACUGGUCGCACAGACCUAUCCUGCUACAUGGAAGGAGCAGCAGGAAGGUGGUGGGGAUUGCUGGGACCAUCUUGGAGGCUGCCACAGACAUCCAAGCCCCUCCAGGCAGGACAAACCAGGAUGAGAGGACAGUGUCGGGUGUAGCUGCCACCACCCAGUGUCGUCCAAGGAAAAUGGAGCAACCACAUCCUGCAUGGCAACACCAGGUGGCCAAGCCAGAUCGUGUGACCACUCGACGCUUCCCACCCACAGCAAAGAGGACAGGAGCUCCCAGUGCCUCAGACUGCAGAGUCUACCCCACGUGGAUGGAAGACAGUGAGGCUGGCCAGCUGCACGUGGAGGAUGUGACGUCUCUUCUCAGUCUUUGACCACAAACAUCCCAGAGGCACCCCCAGCUCAGUGUGCCCCAGAGACUCUAUCCCCCAACCUAGGCUCUGCCCACUCUGUUCCCUGCCUACCUACAAAGGGCCUACGCUGGGGCAGAGCCCCUUCCACACCCUGCUGGGUCUCCUGGGCCUUUGCUCAUGCUGUUCCCUCUGCCCGGAGCCCCUUCCCCUAAUGCCCUCCUCAUCCUUCCCCACUCAGGACCCCCCCGCCAGUCCCCACCCCCAGUAUUUCCUUGUCCAAGAGGGACUGGCACAUCAUGGUUUCUGUCCUGGGUCUGCCUUCCCUCCAGUGCGUGCGCUCCAGGUGGGCAGGGUCUACUCCCAGCGUCCAGAACACUGAGCCCCAAACGGACCGCCUGAGAUCCUAGCAGGGCCAGGAUGGGGUCGCACAGGAAGGAGAGGUCGCCCUGCAGGCGCAGGCUGGGAGGCACGGGUGAGAUAGGGCAGGCCAGGAUGGAGUCGCACAGGAAGGAGAGGUCGCCCUGCAGGUGCAGGCUGGGAGGCAUGGGUGAGACGGGGCAGGGGCUGCACUCAC
Molecule: long non-coding RNA, 2801 nt
Filed under: Homo sapiens (human)
Lineage: Eukaryota; Metazoa; Chordata; Mammalia; Primates; Hominidae
Description: HSALNT0318029
Source: RNAcentral